Molecule: ribosomal RNA, 484 nt
Filed under: uncultured bacterium
Lineage: Bacteria
Description: partial 16S ribosomal RNA
Rfam family: Bacterial small subunit ribosomal RNA
Source: RNAcentral
AUUGAACGCUGGCGGCAUGCUUUACACAUGCAAGUCGAACGGCAGCGCGGGCUUCGGCCUGGCGGCGAGUGGCGAACGGGUGAGUAAUGCAUCGGAACGUGCCCAGUAGUGGGGGAUAGCCCGGCGAAAGCCGGAUUAAUACCGCAUACGACCUGCGGGUGAAAGCGGGGGACCGAAAGGCCUCGCGCUAUUGGAGCGGCCGAUGUCGGAUUAGCUAGUUGGUGGGGUAAAGGCUUACCAAGGCGACGAUCCGUAGCUGGUCUGAGAGGACGUCCAGCCACACUGGGACUGAGACACGGCCCAGACUCCUACGGGAGGCAGCAGUGGGGAAUUUUGGACAAUGGGGGCAACCCUGAUCCAGCCAUGCCGCGUGCGGGAAGAAGGCCUUCGGGUUGUAAACCGCUUUUGUUCGGGAAGAAAUCCUCUGGGCUAAUACCCCGGGGGGAUGACGGUACCGGAAGAAUAAGCACCGGCUAACUACGUG